UACAGAAGCCUCGAGCGUUACCCGGAUUCACUGGGCGUAAAGGGUGCGUAGGCGGUUAUAUUAGUCGGGUGUUAAAUCCUGGGGCUCAACCCCAGGCUCGCAUCCGAAACGGUAUAACUAGAAGAAAUGAGAGGUGAACGGAACUCACGGUGUAGGGGUGAAAUCCGUUGAUAUCGUGGGGAACACCAAAUGCGAAGGCAGUUCACUGGCAUUUUCUUGACGCUGAGGCACGAAAGCGUGGGUAGCGAAUGGG
RNAcentral lists this unclassified non-coding RNA (253 nucleotides) under uncultured Parcubacteria group bacterium. RNAcentral describes it as "contains 16S-23S intergenic spacer region". It matches the Rfam family "Bacterial small subunit ribosomal RNA", at positions 524 to 776 of the family's 1533-position model. The record is from RNAcentral.